RNAcentral lists this ribosomal RNA (441 nucleotides) under uncultured bacterium. Its description in RNAcentral is "partial 16S ribosomal RNA". It matches the Rfam family "Bacterial small subunit ribosomal RNA", at positions 338 to 795 of the family's 1533-position model. The record is from RNAcentral.
CCUACGGGAGGCAGCAGUCGGGAAUAUUGCGCAAUGGAGGAAACUCUGACGCAGUGACGCCGCGUAUAGGAAGAAGUUUUUCGGAAUGUAAACUAUUGUCGUUAGGGAAGAGAAAGGACAGUACCUAAGGAGGAAGCUCCGGCUAACUACGUGCCAGCAGCCGCGGUAAUACGUAGGGAGCGAGCGUUAUCCGGAAUUAUUGGGUGUAAAGGGUGCGUAGACGGGAAAACAAGUUAGUUGUGAAAUCCCUCGGCUUAACUGAGGAACUGCAACUAAAACUAUUUUUCUUGAGUGCAGGAGAGGUAAGUGGAAUUCCUAGUGUAGCGGUGAAAUGCGUAGAUAUUAGGAGGAACACCAGUGGCGAAGGCGACUUACUGGACUGUAACUGACGUUGAGGCACGAAAGUGUGGGGAGCAAACAGGAUUAGAUACCCCAGUAGUC